This 490-nucleotide ribosomal RNA is filed under the name uncultured bacterium. Its description in RNAcentral is "partial 16S ribosomal RNA". It matches the Rfam family "Bacterial small subunit ribosomal RNA", at positions 30 to 507 of the family's 1533-position model. The record is from RNAcentral.
AUUGAACGCUGGCGGCAGGCCUAACACAUGCAAGUCGAACGGUAACAGGAAACAGCUUGCUGUUUCGCUGACGAGUGGCGGACGGGUGAGUAAUGUCUGGGAAACUGCCUGAUGGAGGGGGAUAACUACUGGAAACGGUAGCUAAUACCGCAUAACGUCGCAAGACCAAAGAGGGGGACCCUCGGGCCUCUUUCCAUCGGAUGCGCCCAGAUGGGAUUAGCUUGUUGGUGGGGUAACGGCUCAACAAGGCGACGAUCCCUAGCUGGUCUGAGAGGAUGACCAGCCACACUGGAGCUGAGACACGGUCCAGACUCCUACGGGAGGCAGCAGUGGGGAAUAUUGCACAAUGGGCGCAAGCCUGAUGCAGCCAUGCCGCGUGUAUGAAGAAGGCCUUCGGGUUGUAAAGUACUUUCAGCGGGGAGGAAGGGAGUAAAGUUAAUACCUUGGCUCAUUGACGUUACCCGCAGAAGAAGCACCGGCUAACUCCGUG